GGGAUGACGUCAAGUCCUCAUGGCCCUUAUAGGUGGGGCUACACACGUCAUACAAUGGCCGGUACAAAGGGCAGCAAACCCGCGAGGGGGACCAAUCCAUCAAAGCCGGUCGUAGUCCGGAUCGCAGUCUGCAACUCGACUGCGUGAAGUCGGAAUCGCUAGUAAUCGUGGAUCAGCAUGUCACGGUGAAUACGUUCCCGGGUCUUGUACACACCGCCCGUCACACCAUGGGAGCGGGUCUCGCCAGAAGUAGUUAGCCUAACCGCAAGGAGGGCGAUUACCACGGCGGGGUUCGUGA
Molecule: ribosomal RNA, 298 nt
Filed under: uncultured bacterium
Lineage: Bacteria
Description: partial 16S ribosomal RNA
Rfam family: Bacterial small subunit ribosomal RNA
Source: RNAcentral